Molecule: non-coding RNA, 176 nt
Filed under: Desulfovibrio sp. OttesenSCG-928-C06
Lineage: Bacteria; Pseudomonadati; Thermodesulfobacteriota; Desulfovibrionia; Desulfovibrionales; Desulfovibrionaceae
Description: 6S RNA
Rfam family: 6S / SsrS RNA
About the family: E. coli 6S RNA was the first non coding RNA to be sequenced, but its function was unknown until recently.
Source: RNAcentral
CUUUCCCUGAAGUGUUUGUGAUGCGGACUCACCGCGGCCUCACAAGCAUAAAACCGGGAGCUUAGUCGAAGACUGGUGUGCACGCCCUUUACGGGCGUACCUAAAGGUCUUGCAAGGCUUCCACCGUAGGAUUCAGGUCCUGCGGAGCAGUUUGCACACGGCACUUCGGGGUGGCA